Molecule: long non-coding RNA, 1250 nt
Filed under: Homo sapiens (human)
Lineage: Eukaryota; Metazoa; Chordata; Mammalia; Primates; Hominidae
Description: HSALNT0182152
Source: RNAcentral
CCAGAAAGGGAAAGGAGAGGAGUAAAGAGGAAAAGAGAACAGUGGUGGGUGCCUAUAAAGAGCCACACACCUUGCUGCAUGCUCUAUAUGUGGGCUAUUGUUUGUUCUCACAAUGAAUCUGAGUAGUAGAUAUAGCAUGCCCAUUUUCCACAGUUUUGGAGGAAUGGGAGAGGAGCUUUCCACUCCUCUGAGAGUCAUGUCGAGAGUCUGUCUUAGCCCUCGACCCCUCAGUCUUUGUAGAUCUCAUCCCAGAACCCCGAGGGAGAGCACUCAGGACCGGUUCUGGUUUCCUGGUGUGGCCUGGGCCUCCAUCUGGUUUGGAGGCUAUUUUGAUCCACCGGAUGCAGAUUAGCUGCUGCGAUCUGGGGCUGAGCUGCUGGAGAGAUGCCUUUAUCUACAGAAGGACAAUUUGAAAACUAACUCAAAGCAUCGAGAACAAAUAAAUAAAUUCCUCUUUCCGUUCCCAGCACUCUCCAUCCUAUUUCUACAGGUAAUUGCUGAAGGAUUUUUGCUUCAAACAGGCUCUUGUUUGCAUCAAGUGUGGGGUGCAGCAAAGUGGACUCGGGACUGGCCGAUGUCUGGCCAGAAAUGCCAGGCAAGGGAAACAGUGACUCUAGUGGGGUCAGGAGAGGGGCAUCUGCUGGCCCAGGAGCGCAAGGCAGAGGGACUUCAUUGUCCCCCUUAUAGGUGAGGCGACUCUGAGGCAGGAGGUCCAAGUUUGCUGGACAAUGGCAGAAACAGAAUUCAAACACCUGUCUUCUAGGAGAAGUUCUGGUCUCUCCUCGGUGCUGCGGCUGCCCCGGGAAGAGUUUCCAGGAGCUGACAAGCAUUCAGAUGAGUAAAGAUGGGAUCGGAUUGAGAAAAGGAGAAGGGAGAGCAUAUUCGUUCUCUUUCCACCUCCCUCCCACAGCCUUUCAUGCUGAUCUCAUCUGACGAAGCUGCCUCCUCCUCCCUGGACUCUACAAGCCCCUGUCAUGAUGUUUCUCAGAUCCUGAAUUCCAGCGAAACAGAUGAUACUAACAAGUUUGAAGACCCCCACAGAGGAAUGGAAUCAGUAUGAGAACACAGUUUCUUCAUCUCCCUGUCCCAGAACUUCACCCUGGACUCCUCGACCAAUCAACAAUCUCCACACUUCGGCCCACUCCAAAACUCCUAAAAUCCCAAGCUCCAAACUCCUCUGGGAGAUGGAUUUGAGGCUUCCUCCCGUUUCCUUGUGUGGAAGCCCUGUCAUUAAACCUCUUUCUCUGCUG